Molecule: transfer RNA, 72 nt
Filed under: Camelus bactrianus (Bactrian camel)
Lineage: Eukaryota; Metazoa; Chordata; Mammalia; Artiodactyla; Camelidae
Also listed under: 2 other names
Rfam family: tRNA
About the family: Transfer RNA (tRNA) molecules are approximately 80 nucleotides in length. Their secondary structure includes four short double-helical elements and three loops (D, anti-codon, and T loops).
Source: Rfam by way of RNAcentral
AAGGGUAUAGCUCUGUGGCAGAGUGCAUGCUUAGCAUGCAUGAGGUCCUGGGUUCAAUCCCCAGUACCUCCA